RNAcentral lists this long non-coding RNA (1272 nucleotides) under Gouania willdenowi (blunt-snouted clingfish). RNAcentral's name for it is "lncRNA (ENSGWIG00000022795.1)". Lineage: Eukaryota; Metazoa; Chordata; Actinopteri; Blenniiformes; Gobiesocidae. The record is from RNAcentral.
CAGUAACCAGUUUCAAACCCAGCCAGGCCCCUCAAGUACUGCAUCUCGAUCCAGAGCCAGCCCAGUCGCCCGGCCUGUGCUGCCAGUUCCUGAACGGAGCACCUACUGUCAGCUACUGGGAGGGGGGCCACUGGCCGGAGGUCUUCACAGCCCAACGAGUCCCAAGACAAGCCCAAGAUCUCCGGGUGAAACCUUUGUUUUCCCUCCUUUGUCUCCGCUUUCCCCAAUCUCCACCACGUCUCGCCCUUGGCCUCCGUCUCCACGAAGCCCAGAGCUCCUCGGAGUCAAUGUCGGUCAGCGCAUCCGACGCCUGAGCUCUCCCGGCAGUGAGGACGGGGAGGAAGGUGGCAGGCGGGAGGAAAGGGGAGGAGAAGCAGGAGGAGGAGAGAGGCGAGAGGAGAAAAAACGCCAGGCACAGCUGCUGCAGAUUCACAGGGAGCUGCAAAACGUGGAGGUCAGGGGGAAAGUGGGCAUUUUCGAAGCUCACAUAUCAGGGAUUCGUGCCCAGGUGCUAAACAGUGAACUCCAGCGCAGCCCACGCUCUCCUCGACGAACAACUUGUCAAACGUCUUCUCAUCUCAACCAAGGAGGAAACACAGUUCUUGAAUGCUCAAUGACCCACCCACUGCAGCCCAAAGUUCCCGCUGUUGUCCAAAACGGGAGAGGAAAAGAGGAGGAAACGGUGGACAUUAAUAGAAAGAGCGAGGCUGAGAGGGACAGCAGUGACACUGAGAGCCACACACUGAUCAAACAGAAUGACUGCCACUCACUAUCAGCAACGCAAACUCAGUGUUUAGAAGGACGGCCUGUCCAGGACUCACCUGGAACAACGGAAAAGGAUGCUACGAUGGAUGGAGGAGAGGAAACCGAAGGAGAAGCAAAGAGAGCAAAAAGGGGAGAAAAAGAGGAAGUGGAAAGCAACCCAACAGUUAAAUGUGAAUGGACUGCCGUUCCUCCUGCUAUUCCUGCCGUCAUCGUCACAGAACACGGCGUCACGGAGUCUCCAAUCGGUUCACACUUCUGCAAUCAACCUCUCAGGAAGCUUUCCUCUUCCUCUACCUCCUCGGCUGGCUUCUCUUCCUCCUGGGAAGAGUCUGAGGAGGAUAUCUCCAGCGACACAGAGAAAGAAGAACAGCUCCUGAGCCCUGUGGCCCUAAGCUCCCAACAAAGAGCAGUAAGUGCCUCAUUAGCAUAUUUAUCACUCACACACAACUAAAUCAGUGAUUUAUUUUACUUUUAUGUUCGAUCUAAUCCAGUGCUUGUGCAUGAAAA